This 446-nucleotide long non-coding RNA is filed under the name Pandoravirus salinus. RNAcentral's name for it is "putative ncRNA". The record is from RNAcentral.
UUUUGGUCGUCGUCGUCAUCGUAGUCGUCAUCGUCGCGGAAACCAACAGGAUCGACGCGGAUAGAUGUCGUGCUGUCGUCGUCGUCGUAUGGGCCGACGACGUUGUUGCAAACCUCGCCUACCACGAGGGCCACGAGAAAGAGGCACCGCCCCUGGUCGUCUGUCUUUUCCGCCAGCGUCUCGCGCGCAACGACCCGGCACAAGCCGUGUGCCUGCGCAAUGGCGGCGGCCAAAAGGACACCGAUCGCCACCCAUCGGGCUGUGCUCGCCACGAGGAUGAGAGCCAUGUGUGCGCGCGCAAAAAAACACAAACGGCCAAUGCUAGAGGGAAGAGAAACAAUGAAAACUUGGGAAAAAAAAGACGUGCGAGAUGGCCCAACAAGGCCGAGAUCGUGAAAAAAACAAAAGAGAGAAAAAGAGCGGCUAUCUUUUGCGCUCUUUUUUGC